UACGGGGGGGGCAAGCGUUGUUCGGAAUUACUGGGCGUAAAGGGCUCGUAGGUGGCCAACUAAGUCAGACGUGAAAUCCCCAGGCUUAACCUGGGAACUGCGUCUGAUACUGGAUGGCUUGAAUUCGGGAGAGGGAUGCAGAAUUCCAGGUGUAGCGGUGAAAUGCGUAGAUAUCUGGAGGAACACCGGUGGCGAAGGCGGCAUCCUGGACCGGCAUUGACGCUGAGGCGCGAAAGCUAGGGGAGCAAACGGG
RNAcentral lists this ribosomal RNA (253 nucleotides) under uncultured bacterium. RNAcentral describes it as "partial 16S ribosomal RNA". It matches the Rfam family "Bacterial small subunit ribosomal RNA", at positions 524 to 776 of the family's 1533-position model. The record is from RNAcentral.